GGAGCUGUGGCUUAGUGGGUAAAGCUGCUGCCUGCAGUGUUGGCAUGCCAUAUGGGUGCCAGGUCCAGUCUUGCCUGCUCUA
Molecule: transfer RNA, 82 nt
Filed under: Oryctolagus cuniculus (rabbit)
Lineage: Eukaryota; Metazoa; Chordata; Mammalia; Lagomorpha; Leporidae
Rfam family: tRNA
About the family: Transfer RNA (tRNA) molecules are approximately 80 nucleotides in length. Their secondary structure includes four short double-helical elements and three loops (D, anti-codon, and T loops). Further hydrogen bonds mediate the characteristic L-shaped molecular structure. tRNAs have two regions of fundamental functional importance: the anti-codon, which is responsible for specific mRNA codon recognition, and the 3' end, to which the tRNAs corresponding amino acid is attached (by aminoacyl-tRNA synthetases). tRNAs cope with the degeneracy of the genetic code in two manners: having more than one tRNA (with a specific anti-codon) for a particular amino acid; and 'wobble' base-pairing, i.e. permitting non-standard base-pairing at the 3rd anti-codon position.
Source: Rfam by way of RNAcentral